RNAcentral lists this ribosomal RNA (1650 nucleotides) under Salmonella enterica subsp. enterica serovar Typhimurium. RNAcentral's name for it is "bacterial LSU rRNA". It matches the Rfam family "Bacterial large subunit ribosomal RNA", at positions 80 to 1757 of the family's 2925-position model. Lineage: Bacteria; Pseudomonadati; Pseudomonadota; Gammaproteobacteria; Enterobacterales; Enterobacteriaceae. The record is from RNAcentral.
GGUAAGGUGAUAUGAACCGUUAUAACCGGCGAUACCCGAAUGGGGAAACCCAGUGUGAUUCGUCACACUAUCAUUAACUGAAUCCAUAGGUUAAUGAGGCGAACCGGGGGAACUGAAACAUCUAAGUACCCCGAGGAAAAGAAAUCAACCGAGAUUCCCCCAGUAGCGGCGAGCGAACGGGGAGGAGCCCAGAGCCUGAAUCAGCAUGUGUGUUAGUGGAAGCGUCUGGAAAGGCGCGCGAUACAGGGUGACAGCCCCGUACACAAAAGCGCAUGUGCUGUGAGCUCGAUGAGUAGGGCGGGACACGUGGUAUCCUGUCUGAAUAUGGGGGGACCAUCCUCCAAGGCUAAAUACUCCUGACUGACCGAUAGUGAACCAGUACCGUGAGGGAAAGGCGAAAAGAACCCCGGCGAGGGGAGUGAAAAAGAACCUGAAACCGUGUACGUACAAGCAGUGGGAGCNNAUAGGGGAGCCGGAGGGAAACCGAGUCUUAAUUGGGCGUUAAGUUGCAGGGUAUAGACCCGAAACCCGGUGAUCUAGCCAUGGGCAGGUUGAAGGUUGGGUAACACUAACUGGAGGACCGAACCGACUAAUGUUGAAAAAUUAGCGGAUGACCUGUGGCUGGGGGUGAAAGGCCAAUCAAACCGGGAGAUAGCUGGUUCUCCCCGAAAGCUAUUUAGGUAGCGCCUCGUGAAUUCAUCUCCGGGGGUAGAGCACUGUUUCGGCUAGGGGGCCAUCCCGGCUUACCAACCCGAUGCAAACUGCGAAUACCGGAGAAUGUUAUCACGGGAGACACACGGCGGGUGCUAACGUCCGUCGUGAAGAGGGAAACAACCCAGACCGCCAGCUAAGGUCCCAAAGUCAUGGUUAAGUGGGAAACGAUGUGGGAAGGCCCAGACAGCCAGGAUGUUGGCUUAGAAGCAGCCAUCAUUUAAAGAAAGCGUAAUAGCUCACUGGUCGAGUCGGCCUGCGCGGAAGAUGUAACGGGGCUAAACCAUGCACCGAAGCUGCGGCAGCGAACGUAUCACCCAAGACAACUUUACGGAGUUGACGAUUGACGGAGCGAAGCGACGUCAAAGCGUUCAUUAAAGUCGAGUUGGCUUAGGGAUACGUUCGUUGGGUAGGGGAGCGUUCUGUAAGCCUGUGAAGGUGUGUCGUGAGGCAUGCUGGAGGUAUCAGAAGUGCGAAUGCUGACAUAAGUAACGAUAAAGCGGGUGAAAAGCCCGCUCGCCGGAAGACCAAGGGUUCCUGUCCAACGUUAAUCGGGGCAGGGUGAGUCGACCCCUAAGGCGAGGCCGAAAGGCGUAGUCGAUGGGAAACGGGUUAAUAUUCCCGUACUUGGUGUUACUGCGAAGGGGGGACGGAGAAGGCUAUGUUGGCCGGGCGACGGUUGUCCCGGUUUAAGCGUGUAGGUGUGUGUUCCAGGUAAAUCCGGUUCACUUUAACACUGAGGCGUGACGACGAGGCACUACGGUGCUGAAGCAACAAAUGCCCUGCUUCCAGGAAAAGCCUCUAAGCAUCAGGUAACACGAAAUCGUACCCCAAACCGACACAGGUGGUCAGGUAGAGAAUACCAAGGCGCUUGAGAGAACUCGGGUGAAGGAACUAGGCAAAAUGGUGCCGUAACUUCGGGAGAAGGCACGCUGACAC